AACACUGUUAACCUGCGGUACCUGCGGAAGGAUCAUUACAGAGUUGCAAAACUCCCUAAACCAUUGUGAACGUUACCUAAACCGUUGCUUCGGCGGGCGGCCCGGGUCCUUCCCGGCGCCCCUCGGCCCUCGCGGGCGCCCGCCGGAGGUAAACCAAACUAUUGCAUUGUAUGGCCUCUCUGAGUCUUCUGUACUGAAUAAGUCAAAACUUUCAGCAAUGGAUCUCAGAUCGGAAGAGCA
This 240-nucleotide unclassified non-coding RNA is filed under the name soil metagenome. RNAcentral's name for it is "partial contains 5.8S ribosomal RNA, internal transcribed spacer 2, and large subunit ribosomal RNA". The record is from RNAcentral.